Pollicipes pollicipes is the source of this 113-nucleotide long non-coding RNA. RefSeq lists it as uncharacterized. The transcript is spliced from 3 exons. The record is from RefSeq and is a predicted model, not a curated record. Lineage: Eukaryota; Metazoa; Arthropoda; Thecostraca; Pollicipedomorpha; Pollicipedidae.
UUGGAGGUGAUGCGGCCGGGCACAUUUUCUACUUGCAGCUUGGAUGUAGAUGCACAUUUGAGAGGUGAUGGCUUCAAAGAGCUCUAAGCCGGCCGCCGCCGAGCAGACCGAGC